Molecule: long non-coding RNA, 5758 nt
Organism: Brachypodium distachyon (stiff brome)
Lineage: Eukaryota; Viridiplantae; Streptophyta; Magnoliopsida; Poales; Poaceae
Exons: 15
Source: RefSeq, a predicted model, not a curated record
AGGGUGGGUGUUCUAUCGCUGCCUCGCUUCCUAUCAUCUUCCGAUAUUCCAGGAUCUGACGCUUUCCUUUGCUUUGUUGUUUUGCUGUUCCGUUGCACUGGCGCGUCCUGGGCGAUGUGUGGACGGGUUUGUUCUUCAAGGAGCUGUGUGGAUUCUCUGGUCGCGUCUUCUGUGGCGCGUCUCGUCUCAGGAGCCGCCACGCCCAGGGCCGAUCUGGCCAACGGCGGGAAGCAAGUGGUGUUCGAGGGUGUCGACAACCGCGCCUAGGACCGCCACUGGGCGAUCCAGGUCGCCAGGGACGCAGCGGCCCAAGCUGACGGGUGCAUGCAGCCCAAGUCGUCCUCUUCGCCUUAGGCCACGCCUGCCGCUGUCGCAUCGACACCUCCGGAUCCAGCCCCGCCGCGCAGAGGAAAUUGAGCAGAUACACCUGCCCAAUCCGGCCAUCAACGAAAGGUCUAUUGUGCUUUCCAUAUUUGUCAUAGAAAUUGUUGUUGAGAUAAUGAUGCUCGUGCACUUGAAUUGAUACUUACGGAGAGAGGAGAACACCAGUUUUGUCGAGUAGGCGGAACCGCAAACGCUGAGUAAUUUAUUGUGCGAAUCUUGGUGUUGUGUGCGUUCACUGUUCAGUGUGUACUUAGCAGAUUUUUUUUUUUGCUCUUUCGCAUUCUGGGAAUUUAACUAUGCAGUUAUCUCCGUCAGAUUAUCCUGAUGAAGCAACAUAGUAAGUGUUUCAUCCCUUCCCAGAUCAAAUUUGUUUAUACAAGCAUUUUCUUCCAGCAACAUAGUAAGUGUUUCAUCCUGAUGAAGCAACAUAGUAAGUGCUGUACCCACCCAAUAACUUGCCUGUAAUAUAAUCCUGCAAGUAUGAUGAAUCUUGGAUGUUGUUAAUCUGCACAGUAGCAAAUUUCCAUAUGUUACUGAACUAUAGUUGUGAACGUAGUAAUAAGUUUCAGUAGUGGCUUAGUCUUUCCUGCAGUCCUGUAUGUUCAUGGUGUAUUGUAAGGACAAUGUAGGUUCAUAACAACACUAAAGUUCCCCGCAAAGAAACAAAAUAAAAUAAAAGCACUAAAGUUUGAUCAUCUGAAAAUUGCUAGUUAUAAUCCCAUCUAGAACCCUGUUUUGGGAGCUCAACCUUGGUGCUAAUGUUGAGCUGGACCUUUUCUUUUGAACCUUGAAUUGUGUGCUGGCUUGUAUGCAUGCCUUUGCACACCCAUUUGGAGUUCGAAUGUGUGUGAAUUGUAUUGCUGCAUACAUGUUAGAUUAACUACAUCCAAACGUGCAGCGACUUCUCUUGCUGAUGUCAAGGGGACUUUUGGAAAACUACACUUUAUAGAACUCACUUACUGAAACCUUGCUCAUGUUGUGUGAUACAGUCUACAGAGCAUUGUGGACAACAACAUUAACAUAUUAAGAUUAAAAUAAUAGCGUGGACAACAACAACUAUUUGUUUGGAACUAAGCUUAUAUCCAAUUAUAAUUUACUAAUGUAUGUUAGAACUUGUAAUAUCUGCAUAUGGGCACAUGGCUUCAACCAGCUGAACUUCUAUCGUCAACUUUUACUCUUAUAAUUUUAAUAAUGUAUGUUGAACUUGUAAAUAUCUGUGAAUUUAAAGAGGCUUGCUGCUGUUGGACCCUUUGUCAUCUAAGGGUAAUAACUGAAUAAAUGCAUUCUUAUCUGUUGUGUUGCUUGAAUAAAAACUUGUUCCUUUGUUAGUUUGUAGCUUACAGUGAUUAAAUUCUGUUUAACCGGUGUCCCACAAGGUGGAGAAGGAUUUCUUGGCACAAUCUGGAGACCCGACUGGAACUGCAGCAGCGGUGAUUCUGUGUAUAAGUUCCUUGAUGGUGAUCAAGAUCGAUUUUUUAAUGACGCGAUCCGUCCGGAAUUCAGGCAUUCAGAAACUAGCACGGUUGCAGUGGCAGGUGCUGGUGAAAAUUGCAAUGCCUCGCAGGUGUUCGGGACAAUUGCUGAAGGUUUUGAAACACUGACAAAUAUAAAUGAAGCAUAUGUUUUUUUGGCGAGUAAUAUGAAGCAUAUGUUGAUGACAAAGGAAGACCAUUUAAGGACAUGAGGUGCAAUAUUGUUUUACACCUAUGGUAAACUGCAUAAUUAGGACAUAUUUGCCAAAGAAUGAUGCUAUUUGGUUUCAUGCCCUUGAGAGGCCAAAAUUCCCCACUCUGCCUUCAGCCAAAUUUGCCCAAAAGCUGAGCAGCCAGUGUGGUCUGCAAAUUCGGUUUGGUUCUUACGCGCUACAUUUGGGCAAACACCAAAAACUCCUAUUUAGUUUCCAGCACUAAUUUACUUGUUUCUUUCUACUGAACUCUUCCUUAAAUCUUAAUAGACAGGAUCGAUCAUACAUAUAUCUUGGUGAUGAUCCUCCUCAACUUGCUGAACUUAUUCCUGAUAAUACUCCGCUAGGAAAGCCAUAUGAUGGUGUAAUUUGAGUAAUAUUGUUGUGUUCAUUUCUGUAAGAUGUCAAGCUUUUCAGUCUUUUAGCCCUUUAGGAGAGGUCAAUGUGUGCCAUAUGAUGUCCUGUCAAUGUGAAUAUGCCAUGUUCUUUGUCCUGUUAUAGCAGGUUGCAGAAGAACGCUUAGGGGAUAGUUGGGUCCCUUUAGAUGAAACGGUGGAUCCUGAACAGCUUGAGGAGAUGAUCUGCUCUAAAGAAGAACAUGCUAAUGCAGUUAUCCUUGAGAGUAUGCAGUGCCGAUGCGUGGGAUGCGCCAGUAAGGUCGAGAAGGCGAUGGCCUCCAUCGGGAGUUUCGGAGAUACCGAGUACCAACAGCCUUCCUGACUCCUUGUUUGAUUUACUUUAUAUAUUUUUGUUGCCUGCAAAUACUUUGAUUCUCGGGGACAUUUUGCUUUAAUGUUAGUGUGAUAGGAGUCCGAGAGCUUUGCCAAUGGCCGAAGAAGAAGACAAGGAAGACGUCAAAAUUGUCUGCCCUGAUCCACCAGCUGAGAAUCAUGAUCAGAAAAUUAUAUUGGUUCUUGGAAGCAGUUCAAGAGCUUGUGGCACUACAGCUUCAGCUCCACCAUUACCGGAUAAAUUGUCCUGAGCUCUAGCACCAUCAGGAAUUCAGUCUGAAAAUUAGGACCUACAACUGAUUGAGGAGCAGACCUUGACCUUUAGGGAACUCACGGCAGCCACGAGCAAGUUCAGAGCCGAUUGCCUUCUAGGGGAGGGUGGCUUCAGACCAUAAUAGCGAACUUCUUAGUGUUAAUCCUAAAAAAGGCCUGAGGAGUCGAGGACUAAAACACAAUGAGGGGAAUCAAAUAGUUUGGAGGAACUACAUGAUCACUUAAUCUUGAUACAUGAGAAGAGGAUAUCCAGUUUUUCCCUGAUGAUCAAAGUGUUGGAGUAUCCGACUCUUUUUUCCUCGCUACUAUAUAUGGAAUCCUUGGAAUUCCUUUGUCGUACUUGAUGCGGUAUAGGCCUCUCUACCGUGCAAUGAGAUUCCACUUCGUACCAGCCCAGCAUGCAUAGCCUUGCUAAUUAACAACAGAAAAUUGUUGAUAUUCUCUUCAAACAGAGUUCCUCAACCAUGGGGGGCUAUCAUCGUGCGGUCGUGCCCUGUCUGGCGCUCUUCUGGAUUUAGUACUGUGUGGUUGCUCUGUCAUUGGAUUUGGACCAAAAGGAGCCCAUGAAAUAGAAGCAUAUGGUAGAGUUGCCAAUUAAUGAAACACAAUCAAAGCUACUUUGAUACCAGAUGUUAAUGGCGAGUUAGUUGAUAAUCGGCAUGGACUCUUUAAAUGAGACCUUUCUUUCCCCACUUCUUAGUGUUAAUCCUAAAAGAGGCCCAAGGAGUCGAGGACAAAAAAACACAAUGAGGGAAAGCAAAUAGUUUGGAGAUAUGCUGAUAUAGACAUGGAGGGCUUCAGAUUUUCUACACCAUAUUUCAUUCACGUGUUUCCAGUCACAAGAACAUGUAGAUGCUCAGCUUAAAAUAGUAUGACGGGCUUUUACCUUUGUCGUUUUGCACAUAAUUUAUGUGUUAGUUGGGACAUGAGAGUGGCGACUUUCUGAUAUAAGGCCUAUUACUAAAAGAGGGUGUCCUGGCAUAUUUUCUUUAACUGUUUUUUUUUGCCGGUUAGUUUGUUUGGCUGACUUAUACAUUAAGUCUGACGUCUGCAAAUCCUUGUUAUUUGCAUAUCUUAGCUUAUCGCCCCCUCCGUUCAGAUCGCUAUGAGACAUAACAAAUGCGCCUUUUCAAUCUCUUUGCAAGUUUGUUUGCAUGUGUCAGUUUGAAUGACAACCAAAAUUCUCCAGUCCUAUGUGCUCAAGAACACGCAAAUCAUUCCUUUGUUCAGGUAUGUCUUCUGAAAUAAAACCCAGUGUCAUUUGAAAUAAAACCUGAACUUGAGAUGGUUACUUUGUUUGCUGCAUGAGUGCCUCCAUGUUUGAGAUGGCUAUUCUGUGAUGUGCAUGGAUGCCUUGUAAUUCUGUUAUGUGCAUGGGUGGCUAUAUGUGUGGGGAGUGGGGAUAUAUGAUCUUCUCUGAUUUCCAAAUUGUCAUAUUUAUAGUCGAUAUGCUGUCCAAAUUUUGUUGGUGUCAUGCUGUUACAAUGUUGAUUUCUUCUAAUUUGCUUACAGGAUCCCAAUAGUAGAUGAUCUUUCGUAACAUUGAUUAUUGGUGUCAUGCUGUUACAAUGUUGAUUUCUUCUAAUUAUUCUUUCCGCUUCACUGUAUUUGUCCUUGGUCUUGGAUGUUUUUGUUUCACAUCUCUGUCCAUUCGUAGAAUUAACUCUCUCGCCCAACUUAUUGCAUAGGGUCAAACCCACUGUAGCUGAAUCUAUUGUUCAAUCGCUAGAGUCUGCCUUAAGCUGCUGUACACAUUGUAUUUGUUUUAACUGGUAAGUAAGUAGUUUUUCUCUUGUAAAUAGCUCUGUACAGAUUUGAUCUUUGAUAAAAGUGCAUUGUAGGGGACAUAAAACUGCGCAUGGAAACGAAGCUAGUAUCUACAAACAAGGCAGUGAAUUAAUCAGUCUAAACAUAUUUUUAAUGUUGAAUUUAGAGAGACAUCUGAAAGUGGAAAUUUUGGAACUAGAUGCCUUAGUAAAUUUGGCCAAGUAAGCAGCUUAAAAUUCAGUGUGAUAAAGCUCUUUUAGCUGUAGCUCCAAGUCCAACUGAACUAAUUAAGCUAUUUAGUAGUUCUAAAGUUGUUAACAAUCUCUUCUAGCUUUGUACUUGCAAGCAAUUUCAAUACACUGACACGCCUUUCUGUGUUUUCUUCUCACGGUAGAGAAAUACUAUUGCUUUCUUAGGAUGUCAGAUUGACAGUGUACAGCUUGAGAGAUUGCACCCUUUUAGAAUAAUUACUACAAUGCAUCUGAACAUAUGUUUUGUAUAACCAUGCUUCAAUUCUGCACAUGCAAUGAAUCACUGGGAGUUAAUUACUACCACUGCAUACAUUGAUGCUAUCACAUGAUCGUCAUCUUAUUUUCAGGAGCACAAUGUCAGGUCAAAUGUUUCUGUCAACGAACCUGUUGCAGAUCAAGAUGGGUUUUUUGGAGGUUCUUUAAUGAGUCUGGAGAAGGCGCACUUGCUUUCUCAUCGUUCUCAUGAGCUGCCAAAUGCCAGCAACUGAAUAGGUCUUGCAUAUGUAGUUUUUUGGUGUAGCAAACUCUGCCUAUAGCUAACUCUAGCCAGAUCUGUUACGGGUGUAAACGAAGUUUUCUUGGUGUAGCAACAACACUUUCUGCUUGUCACUGAUCAUAGACAUGUUAUUUGAAUGACGAUUGAGAAUGACUGAAACAUGUUCUGUGCA